This 77-nucleotide transfer RNA is filed under the name Bdellovibrionales bacterium. RNAcentral describes it as "tRNA-Pro". It matches the Rfam family "tRNA". Rfam says of the family: Transfer RNA (tRNA) molecules are approximately 80 nucleotides in length. Their secondary structure includes four short double-helical elements and three loops (D, anti-codon, and T loops). Lineage: Bacteria; Pseudomonadati; Bdellovibrionota; Bdellovibrionia; Bdellovibrionales. The record is from RNAcentral.
CGGGGCGUAGCUCAGCUUGGUAGAGUGCUUGGUUCGGGACCAAGAGGUCGCUGGUUCAAAUCCAGUCGCCCCGACCA